RNAcentral lists this ribosomal RNA (253 nucleotides) under uncultured bacterium. RNAcentral describes it as "partial 16S ribosomal RNA". It matches the Rfam family "Bacterial small subunit ribosomal RNA", at positions 524 to 776 of the family's 1533-position model. The record is from RNAcentral.
GACAGGGGGUGCAAGCGUUGUUCGGAAUUACUGGGCGUAAAGGGCUCGUAGGUGGCCGACUAAGUCAGACGUGAAAUCCCUCAGCUUAACUGGGGAACUGCGUCUGAUACUGGAUGGCUUGAGUUUGGGAGAGGGAUGCGGAAUUCCAGGUGUAGCGGUGAAAUGCGUAGAUAUCUGGAGGAACACCGGUGGCGAAGGCGGCAUCCUGGACCAAAACUGACACUGAGGAGCGAAAGCCAGGGGAGCAAACGGG